GAUGAAGAACGCAGCGAAAUGCGAUAAGUAGUGUGAAUUGCAGAAUUCAGUGAAUCAUCGAAUCUUUGAACGCACAUUGCGCCCGCCAGUAUUCUGGCGGGCAUGCCCGUUCGAGCGUCAUUACAACCCUCAGGCCCCCGGGCCUGGCGUUGGGGAUCGGCGGAAGCCCCCUGCGGGCACAACGCCGUCCCCCAAAUACAGUGGCGGUCCCGCCGCAGCUUCCAUUGCGUAGUAGCUAACACCUCGCAACUGGAGAGCGGCGCGGCCACGCCGUAAAACACCCAACUUCUGAAUGUUGACCUCGAAUCAGGUAGGAAUACCCGCUGAACUUAAGCAUAUCAAUAAGCGGAGGA
RNAcentral lists this unclassified non-coding RNA (353 nucleotides) under soil metagenome. RNAcentral describes it as "partial contains 5.8S ribosomal RNA, internal transcribed spacer 2, and large subunit ribosomal RNA". The stretch from base 1 to 120 matches the Rfam family "5.8S ribosomal RNA", at positions 35 to 154 of the family's 154-position model. The record is from RNAcentral.